RNAcentral lists this ribosomal RNA (586 nucleotides) under uncultured Glomus. Its description in RNAcentral is "SSU rRNA". It matches the Rfam family "Eukaryotic small subunit ribosomal RNA", at positions 624 to 1213 of the family's 1831-position model. The record is from RNAcentral. Lineage: Eukaryota; Fungi; Glomeromycota; Glomeromycetes; Glomerales; Glomeraceae.
AAGCUCGUAGUUGAAUUUCGGGAUUAGUGCGCCGGUCGUGCCUUCGGUAUGUACUGGUGUUACUGGUUCCUACCUUCUGACGAACCGUCAUGUCAUUAAUUUGGUGUGGCGGGGAAUCAGGACUGUUACUUUGAAAAAAUUAGAGUGUUUAAAGCAGGCUCGCGCUUGAAUACAUUAGCAUGGAAUAAAGAAAUAGGACGUUCGAUCCUAUUUUGUUGGUUUCUAGGAUUGACGUAAUGAUUAAUAGGGAUAGUUGGGGGCAUUAGUAUUCAAUUGUCAGAGGUGAAAUUCUUGGAUUUAUUGAAGACUAACUACUGCGAAAGCAUUUGCCAAGGAUGUUUUCAUUAAUCAAGAACGAAAGUUAGGGGAUGGAAGACGAUCAGAUACCGUCGUAGUCUUAACCAUAAACUAUGCCGACUAGGGAUCGGAUGAUGUUAUUUUUAAUGACUCAUUCGGCGCCUUACGGGAAACCUAAGUGUUUGGGUUCCGGGGGGAGUAUGGUCGCAAGGCUGAAACUUAAAGGAAUUGACGGAAGGGCACCACCAGGGGUGGAGCCUGCGGCUUAAUUUGACUCAACACGGGGAAA